This 245-nucleotide long non-coding RNA is filed under the name Mytilus galloprovincialis (Mediterranean mussel). Lineage: Eukaryota; Metazoa; Mollusca; Bivalvia; Mytilida; Mytilidae. The record is from RNAcentral.
UGAUAGCUAAACGUUGGCACAACGUUGUAAGGUUUUAUACAAUACAUUGGCCCAACGUUGGUCCAAUGAUGGAAUAAUACUUGCUGAUGUUGAACAAACGUUAGGCCAACGUAGUUAUACAAACUGUUAGCAAACGUUGGAACGCCGUUGGUUCAAUCUAUAAACCUUUUUAUCCAAAUGAAGGAUACUAAAAUCCCUUCCAGGCAACAACUGCAAUAACUCCUGGUUCUUAUAUCAGUUCAAAA